This is a long non-coding RNA of Musa acuminata AAA Group (dessert banana), 6789 nucleotides long. RefSeq lists it as uncharacterized. NCBI's taxonomy places the organism in Eukaryota, Viridiplantae, Streptophyta, Magnoliopsida, Zingiberales, Musaceae. The transcript has 5 exons. The record is from RefSeq and is a predicted model, not a curated record.
AAUACCAAUCCACAAAACACUGUGAACAGUUGAUGGGAAAACUUUAACAUUGUAUAGUGUUUUUAAAACAAAACACUAUACAAUGUUUUUAAAGCACUAUACAGUGUUUUUGUGGAUAAAAACCAAUCCACAAAACCCAGUGAAUAGUUGGCGGGAAAACUUUUUGGAUUUGGGAGGAAUAAUACAUGACAGAUUUUGGGAGGUAUUUUUGGGAUUUUUUAAAAUAGGGGGUGACCAUUUGAGAAUUAUAAAAAGGGGUAUCAUCGGGGAAAAUCUCAAAAAGAGAGUAUUUUCCCGGGCCAUCCUUUUUUUUUCUGCUGCAUUAAAUUUUCUAUAAAAGAAAAAUAAUUUGAGAUGGCAUUAUAAGAUGGUCUCAUAUGCUACUUGCUUAGUCUACACCAACUAUCGCUCAUGACCCUUCCUUGAUAAGGAGGAUUUGAUGGACUUAAAAAGGAGAUUUCAUAAAGCAUCUUCCUGAAUACAACAAAAGGGAGGUGGUUGCAAGGGAGCAUCUGGUUUAGUAAAUGUUGACUCAGUGCUACAAGAAUUUUUACCAUACAGUGUACAAAUAGAAUAUUUAGCAGAGAAUGUGGCAAAGCUAUCACAUUAAAUUGUUUCAUCGAAUCCAUUGGAGAUAUGACUUUGUUUGAAUGCAUCUUUGUCGAAAAUGGUGAGGUUCAUAUUCCUAGUGUUGCACCUUUCUUGUAAUUUAACAUGAUUCUCUUAUGUUCUAAGGUCUGAUGAGCUCCAAACAAUUUUUGAUCUGGUGGGUGUUCAGCUACAAAUUUUUCUAUCCUCUGUCAGCAUGAUAUUAAAUGCACAUUGCAAUUAAUAUGUCAAGUUCAACAGCAAUUGAACUGAUUACCACUUGGCAUUCAAUCAAUUUUGUAAAAUGUACUCAUGGCCAUGAUGCAUUGUUCUAUGAAAGUUAGUACAUAAAGAGACCACCACUCACCACUUAAUCAAUAUGAUUGUUUGAUUUCAUUUUGAACCUUCUGGUGUGCUGGUAGUUGCAGCCUAUUCUUAGCCUAUUGAAGCUGUCUGGUCUAUGCCUGGGUAUGUCCUUUGCUCAUUUAUGUGCUUUACGGCUACCACUCCUUUGGAUUGAAUCUAGAAGCUACACUACUAUCAUCAGAAGCAUAAUUACUGUUAUGAAUUCUCAUCUUUCUGUAGUAAGUCUAAAAUUUUCGCUGAUAGGUGUUCUUGAAUCAUAUUGGAAGUUCAACUGUGUCUACAUUUUAUGAGACAGAGACAAAUUCCUACACCACUUAAUUAUUACGAUCAUUAGAUUUCAUUCUGAACCUUCUGAGGCCACAACAAUUUAUUGCUAGCAGUUGCAGCCUAUUCAUGGCCUAUUGAAGCUGUCUGGUUCAUGUCUGACUAUGCCUUUGCUUGUCUGAUGCUUUAUGUCCACCUCCCCUUUAGAUUGAAUCUAGUAGCUAUGCUACUAUCAAUGGCUUCUCACAUUUCUGUAGUGAGUGAGCCUAUAAAAUGUUAGUUGAUAACAGUUUUCCUACAUAAGAAUUAAUCUUUUCUCAUGUAUCUUUUGGUAUGUGAGUUGGCCAUGGGGGCCAUUUGUGAGAAGUGCUAGUCUCUUUCGAUCUUCAACAUAUGUAGUCAUAGACAUUAAAAGAAGAAUAAAGGAUAGUUUGAUACUGUUGCUUGAUAAUUCUCAUUAAUGCUGACUAUUAGGAAGUUUUUCUUCUGUGUUUGAAUUUUGAGAUUUUGGCAAUAAGCAAAAGGUAGGUAUAGGAUGCUUGAUUACUACUUUAAAGGCAAUAAGCAAAAGGUAGAUAAAUCUUCAUAUGUAAAGGGCUAAAGGCUGCGGACAUCUUCUUUAGAUGUUUAUUAUUAAGCUAUGUGGAUCCAGUUAAUGAUAUUUGAUAAAAUGAUAACAAUGAGGAUGGGUGUUACAUGAAAUCUAUCUAGUGGCAUCAAAUUUGCAGAAUGCCAGUACAUAAAGAAUAUAAUCAUAAUAUGGUAAAGCAACUAAGCUCUGUUGAUUGGAAAAGGCUUGGAUGAUGAUGAUGAUGAUGACAAUGACUGAUAAUGAUGAAUAUUAAACUAUUUUAUUUUGGUCAUUGUUUAAUUAUGUUUUUAAUAAAAAAAUGUCAUUUCUAUAAUGUCAAACGAUCUAAUAAUUCACAUCAAGAAUAGUUGUUUUAGAAUCUUAUUUGCAAUGACAUACUUCUAUAUCCAUCCUGAACAUCAUUGCAGAAUUUCCAACUGAAAGUAUUUUUCAUUUGCAGAAAUAAGAGUGCUUUUUUUAUUACUUCUUUUAAAUAUAUGCUCCAAACUAUUCUUGAAAAGCAUUUCUCUUGUCUCCUUGUUGUUAAACAAUUGACCACUGGUAAUUUUGGAUUGAUCAAUAUUUGCCAGAUAUUAGGACCCAAUAGUUCGGUGGCAUUGAAUCUGGUGCUAUUACCUUUCUUUGAAAAAGAAGAUAUUCACAUUUUUGCUCGAAUCGAAGGAUGCUGCUUUUCCAGACCGCUUUAUUCCUGGAAUGAGAUCGAAUUCUGCCAAAACCAUAAUUAGUGCUUACAAAUAUCAAAUUGAUUUAUAUAUUUAAACCUUCAUUUAUUUGGUUGCCCUGUAUUUUUGUAGGCUUUUGGAACGUGCAUGUCAUCUUACUCAUCAUGUGACCACUGUAGUAACAUACUUCAAAGAUGAGAAUUUUUAAACGUAUCUUUGAGAUUUUAUACCAGCACUUUUAGCAAGUUCAUAAACAUUCUUAUUUGUUACUCAUUUAAGUUUCAUUUUUCUCUUUUAUAUCUUAUUAUCAGUAUGUAAAAGCUUCAUGCAAUGAAUCCAGAACAACAAUCAGUUUUCAGCAGCGAAAGUGUUUUUUGUUAUGCAACUGAUGGGGACUUGGAGAUUUAUUCUGGGUUCUGUGUGCAGAACUUUGUUGUGAAGGAUCAGUUUGUUAAUGCAUGGGAAGAAUUCAACUCAAAAACCUUGAUCAAAUAGAUGAAGUUCAAAACCUUGUUCUUGUCCAAUGAAUUAAGUAUAUUUCACUUGUAUAUUUAUUCUUAGAGAAAAUGGUCCAUCAAAACAAAUUGCAUCAUGAUGGUCAUGUAAUUUUUGGCAACAGGAAUGCAGGUAUCAUGACAUUGGAUUGCUAGCAUAGACUCAAGAGUUCAGAGAGGCACUUACCAGUGGCAAGCAGACAAUGCUAGUUGUUUAUUAGGGCUUCAGCAAUUGUAGCAUCUGUAGUCGGUGAUAGCUAAUGCGUUGCUUGAAUCAUGCAAGAGCUUCACAUGAGAAGAAGAGAGCCAAAGGUAGCCAAGGACAAACUUGCCAGCAACUCGCAAACAAGGAGAUUUUGUUACAAGGCAAUGCCGGCAAGUCAUCCUUGGCUGCAUUCCACUCUCUGCCUCUUCAUGCAAAGCCCUCAGCAAGCAUCUUCAUUCCCUUAUUCCCCUCUAGCAGGUAUGCAGCCCUUUCCUCUCCAUAGCAGGUACGCAACCCUUUCCUCUCCAUAGCAUUCCAUCUUGCAACUUCUACUACGUGUUCUGGACAGAUGAAAGAGUUGGUAUAUAUAGGCCAGGGUAGUGUGUUGGUAAUUCAUGGAAUGUGCCUGAUCCUUCUGGUUCCUGUGGAUAGCCAAUGGGGUGAUACGGAGAGGAAUUCCCCAAAGUAUGUGAUACGCGCUGCCUAUUAGGAGAUUUCCAGUUUUGGUAUUAUGCUGACUUGCUGAGGUCUCAAAAUGGACAAGUGGUCCAAUCUCCAUUAUUCAUGGGAUUUUAGGCCUUAUAAGAAGGCUGUGAAGGUGGUCUGUGGGGGCGGUUUUCUUCUUGCGAUGUUUGGUAGGCUGUCAUGGGAAUAGAAUCAUGGGUGGAGGCCACACUGAGAUAUGGAGAGGGCUCAUGUGUGUCUCGUGAUUUCAAGGAUGAGUCGUAAGAUCCGCUUCUUAUUGACUCUGUCAAAUUUCAUAGCUUGCAUAAUUUGAAAGAGUGUUCCACUCCCUUUUCUGUACUAUUUUCUCCAGAUUUUAUGCAUUGAUUGGUUUAGUUGCCUUAAAUCUCAUAGGCUUCCUUAGUUGUCAUUGAGAAAACAUCUAAUGUAAGUGCCAUUGCUGCCAGGUCCUUUCUGUAGAUGCUUCUACCACAACCUACCAUCAAUGAGUUUGAUAUCCUUUUUUGCUUCCAGUAAUAUAAGAAUUCACAAUAAACUAUUAUAGGAGUUUUAUUAUUGGGUCAUUUUAGGUCAUCUCAGGAGAUCGUAGUUAAUUCCUUCAUUCCUUGGAAAGGUAAUAUAUACUUGAUAAUAAGGCGGGAGGUGACAGUGAUCAGUUCAUGAUUGGAAGGCCAAUUGUAGGAUUGAUCUGGUCGGGAAAAUCUUGUAGAAUUCUUGAUCAAUAAGAUUUUGAAUAAAUUGGAGAUCUGUCAUGGCUCAUCUGUAGUAUUUAGUCUUCCAUUUGUUUCGUCAGUGAAUAUGUUAUUUGGAUGGGCAUUUUUCUUGUCAGGUUGCGACUGAAGGGUGUCAUCCACUUGGUCCACUUGGACAAGUGGGAGGCUGAAUACCCCUUUGACAUUAAAGAGGGUCAUUGGAAAUACGUAAUUUAUUUCGACGAAUUUGAACAUCUUUUUUCGUUAGAUCUCGUGGGACACAGUCCUUUCCCACAGGCUAUUUAGGUUCGUCCAAUAUAGAAUUGCUAAACCCUUUUUAUUGCUUGUCGAGGAAUCAGAUUCUAUCAAAUAUAAAGGUUAGGGCCAGAAGUCUCAAUCUCUGAGACGUCUCUUUAACCUCCCACUUGCCUAAUUCUUUAACUUCAUUUCUUUUCGAGCUUGCCCCCUUUUUGGUGUUUUCUUCCAGUAAGAUUAGAGGACAAGUAGUCCAGCAUUUUAUAAUGCAUCUGUCAGCUAAAAUGUAUAUAUAUUAUAUAUAUUGAAAAAUGGAAUAGUUGUGUCCCUUAUAUCUUAGAUCUCGAUUUUUUUUAAAUGCAAUAUUUUUUAUUUCAAGAAAAAAAAAUACUACUCAGCUUAAUUCAUGAUUGGUUAUCUCGAUGAUGGAUGUUUAUAAAAUGUCAGAGUCGCAGAGUUAUGCAUCUUUUUGGCCCCAAUUCUGAAGAUUAAUUUGUGAAUUUGAUAUUCCAUACAAGCGCUGAAGACCUCUUGGUUUCGGAAUCAUCCUGCAAGUUACUUCUCAGAGAAGGCUAAUCAUCCGCCAGUGUGGCCACCAGCCUAAAUCAUUACAAAUAGGACAACACCUGCAAAAGAGGGAAACAGUAGAUCAUAUCCGUAACUUUGGUCGGGUUCACUGUCAAUGGUUCCUGUUCAUUGAAUUGCUCUGGUCACUGACGUAGUCAGGUCCUUCACAUGGCAGCAUAUAUUAUUACUGUGUUCUAUUUCCAAGUUGGUUCCGUACUAUUUCUUUAUUAUACGUGCAUGACAGCAUAUAUUACUUGUUAUUUCUUUAUUCUUCGGUGAAAGAAGCUUUUUUGGUGCAUCGACAAAAAUCUUUGCAUGGAAGUGCAGAGGAUAUGAUAGUUUAAAUUACUGGGCUUUCUGGUGUGCAGCUCAGCCAUUGGGCCUGUCGGCCACUCGAGUUGUACCUCGUGCGGGUGUGGUUCUUCUCCAGUUAGUGCGAUGAUGGGCUGGCCCUUCUCUUGCAGAGGAGCAUCGCUGGCCAAAUCUUGUGCUUGUUUUGAGGGCAUUUUGAGGGAGUCAAACGUUUUGAGCAUUAAGGAAGAACUUUAAUUUAAGGAUUAAAGGACAAUGCCAAAUCUUUAUCUCCCCUCUCCUUUCUGUGCAUGACCAAAAUCUCACAUUUCACCGGCUCUCCAAAAUUCCAUUGGCAAAUUUGUCCCAUUAGUUAUAGUCCAAAGGGUUGAGUAUCCUUAGAACCCCAUAACAGUGGCAGUAGUCUCUCGGAGGUCACAAUCAAAUCUUAGUUUAUCGUCCUUCUCCUUUUGGCACUUUUUUGUUGUUGCACAGGAUUAGAAGGGAUGCUGUGGCUGGUAAUGUUGAAAUGUUUUACUGGUAAUGUUGAAAUGUUUUACGGUCCAGCCUCACAGGUUUAAUGGAAAGUAUAUGGCUUUUGAUACAAGCAGGUUGGUCCAAACCGUUCCAUCGGAUCAUGAGAAGUUCGAUCUCUUUGCAUGUCAAGCUACUUCAUCUUUGGGUAUACUUCUCCUUUCCCUUUGUUCCAUAAGUGUCUUGUUUUCUACCAAGCUGUAUGAUUUCCAUUCCUCUCUUGGUAUUGGACUACUGCUAGAGUUCCUCGAAUUCACUGGCCUCUCCCUCCUUUGAAGAAGACCAAACCUCAGGUAAGCAAGGAUGUGGGAGGACCUUAGCGGAGUGCCACCGGUUACAGAAGCGCACGAUUGAGGGGGCCAAGUUCCACCUGUUCUCGCCUUCCACUGCCGCACUCUAGGCGGAGAUGCAGGACUGGCUUCUUGCCUCGGGGCCUGGUUCCAGGCCCAGCGGUGCUCGCCCGCUAACCCUUGAGGCCGGCCUCCAUCCCCCAGCCGUUCCGUCAACGGCGAUGAACGGGAUGGAGAUGUAACAGAUGUUCGCGUCGGUGGCGGCAGAGAGGGAGUCAUCAGAACCGGGGCGGAGGAAGAAGCCAGGCACGAAUGUAGCCGACGGUGGACUUGGGCGAGAAUAAGGGCUAGUCAACGGGUGGUUUGGCCAAUAGUCGCUACCGAGUUGGAGGUUGUUUUAGUUUGACUCGACCAUCAGAUUCAUGUAUAAAUGGCUGUGAUGGCAUAGUACGAAAUAUAAUGGAUAAGAAAAAGUAUUUAAAUAGGACUCCAAAAUCGUCUGUGUCUACAGAAUUGCAUAUACA